RNAcentral lists this ribosomal RNA (253 nucleotides) under uncultured bacterium. RNAcentral describes it as "partial 16S ribosomal RNA". It matches the Rfam family "Bacterial small subunit ribosomal RNA", at positions 524 to 776 of the family's 1533-position model. RNAcentral also lists the same sequence under 3 other names. The record is from RNAcentral.
UACAGAGGGUGCAAGCGUUGUUCGGAAUUAUUGGGCGUAAAGCGCGUGUAGGCGGCUUUGCAAGUCGGGUGUGAAAGCCCUCAGCUUAACUGAGGAAGUGCGCCCGAAACUGCAGAGCUCGAGUACCGGAGAGGAUGGUGGAAUUCCCCAAGUAGAGGUGAAAUUCGUAGAUAUGGGGAGGAACACCGGUGGCGAAGGCGACCAUCUGGACGGAUACUGACGCUGAGACGCGAAAGCGUGGGUAGCAAACAGG